UGGGGAAUUUUGCACAAUGGGGGAAACCCUGAUGCAGCGACGCCGCGUGAUUUAGAAGGCCUUCGGGUUGUAAAAAUCUUUUCUAUGGGAAGAAAUGACAGUACCAUAGGAAUAAGGACCGGCUAAUUACGUGCCAGCAGCCGCGGUAAUACGUAAGGUCCGAGCGUUGUCCGGAAUCAUUGGGCGUAAAGGGUACGUAGGCGGGUAAGCAAGUUAGAAGUGAAAUCCUAUAGCUCAACUAUAGUAAGCUUUUAAAACUGCUCAUCUUGAGGUAUGGAAGGGAAAGUGGAAUUCCUAGUGUAGCGGUGAAAUGCGCAGAUAUUAGGAGGAAUACCGGUGGCGAAGGCGACUUUCUGGCCAUAACCUGACGCUGAGGUACGAAAGCGUGGGUAGCAAACAGG
RNAcentral lists this ribosomal RNA (401 nucleotides) under bacterium. Its description in RNAcentral is "partial 16S ribosomal RNA". It matches the Rfam family "Bacterial small subunit ribosomal RNA", at positions 355 to 776 of the family's 1533-position model. The record is from RNAcentral.